CCUACGGGAGGCAGCAGUGAGGAAUAUUGGUCAAUGGGCGUACGCCUGAACCAGCCAAGUCGCGUGAGGGAAGACUGCCCUAUGGGUUGUAAACCUCUUUUGUCAGGGAGCAACGCCGGCUACGUGUAGCCGGACUGAGAGUACCUGAAGAAAAAGCAUCGGCUAACUCCGUGCCAGCAGCCGCGGUAAUACGGAGGAUGCGAGCGUUAUCCGGAUUUAUUGGGUUUAAAGGGUGCGUAGGCGGAAUGCCAAGUCAGCGGGAAAAUCGCGGGGCUCAACCUCGCUCCGCCGUUGAAACUGGCGUUCUUGAGUGGGCGAGAAGUAUGCGGAAUGCGGGGUGUAGCGGUGAAAUGCAUAGAUAUCACGCAGAACUCCGAUUGCGAAGGCAGCAUACCGGCGCCCAACUGACGCUGAAGCACGAAAGCGUGGGUAUCGAACAGGAUUAGAUACCCGAGUAGUC
This 460-nucleotide ribosomal RNA is filed under the name uncultured bacterium. Its description in RNAcentral is "partial 16S ribosomal RNA". It matches the Rfam family "Bacterial small subunit ribosomal RNA", at positions 338 to 795 of the family's 1533-position model. The record is from RNAcentral.